GGCUGAGGAACACUCUGCUGCUCAGGCCCCCGACUGAUAAGUGAUUGAGACUGUCUGUGAAUCAUGGAUACUUGGACAUGCUGAGCCUGGGGAAGAAUCACCCUGGACUGAUGCCCGAACCGAAUAGGCCUGAUCCAGCUGGCCUUUCCAGGUCUCAAGUACAAACCGAUGGCACGGAUCUCUCUGGACACCACAGGGAUGUGGAGGCGAGAGUGAAGUCUUGGAGCACACAGAUGAUACUUCAAGUCCUGAUUCUGCCACUUGCUCAGUGGGUGACCUUGGAGAUGGAAUUUCACCAUGUUGCCUGGGCUUGUCUCGAACUCCUGAGCUCAAGUGAUCUGCCUGCCCGCCUCAGCCUCCCAAAGUGCUAGGAUUACAGAUGAAUGGAAAAAACGAUGGGUGCAGUCUAAACAUCAGCCGGAUUAUGGUAAAUUUCAGCUCGCUGCAGGAUAAUUUUAUGGAGACAAAGAAAAAGAUAAAGGUCUCCAAACCAGUGAACAUGCCAAGUUUUAUGCCUUCUCAACCAGGUUGAAGCAUUCAGCAAUGAGAAUGAGACCUUGGUGUUUCAGUUUUCAGUAAAACACAAGCAAAGGAAGUAUUGUGGUGGCGGAUAUGUAAAACUCUUUCCUGCCACCCUGAACCAGGAGGAUAUGCACUCAGGAUCCAAGUAUCACAUCAUGUUUGGCCCUGACAUUUGUGGCUUUGGCAACAACAAAGUACAGGUCAUCCCUCAUUACUGAGAGAAAUACCAUGAGAACAAGACCAUCAAGUGCAGGGCUGGGGACAGAGUGGGCCAGACAUGGCCUUUGACUUCACAGAACUCACAGUCAAUGAAGGUAAGAGUCAAGCAAAGUGACUACCUAGUAUGCUGGGCAUCUGUGGGAGCACAGAAGAGGACCCCUACCCAACCUGGAGGCUAAGGAAAUACUUCUUAGAUCAAUAAAGACCCUCACCUGUACACUCUGAUUAUUCGCCCCAAUGCUACUUAUGAGGUUAAAAUUGACAACCAGCAGGUGGCAGCUGGGGCUCUGGAGGAGGACUGGGACUUCUUGCCUCCCAGGAAAAUAAAAGACCCUACGCCCAGAAACCAAAGAAAUGGGAUGAACGCCUGCACAUAGAGGAUCUGGAAGACAAGAAACCUGACAUCAGAGGGCAUUUGGCUGGGAAGCAGUACUGGGAAGACUUUGAAUACAUCCUGGAUCCAGAAGCCAAGAAGCCAGAUAACUGGAAGGAGGCUAUGGAUGGGGAGUGGGAAAGGCCUCUGAUGCCAAAUCCGAAGUAUAAGGGAGAAUGGAAACCUUGGAUCAUUGAAAAUCCCAAUUACCAGGGGGAGUAGAUUCAUCCCAAAAUAGACAACCCUAAAUAUAAGCCUGACGCCACCAUUUGUCACUAUUAUAACAUUAGUGUUCUCAGCCUGGACCUUUGGCAGGUAAAGCCCUCUGAGCUCAGAGCC
RNA transcript from Homo sapiens (human), 1453 nucleotides. It is a transcript of the gene named calreticulin 4, pseudogene, with no coding region annotated. The record is from RefSeq and is marked validated. NCBI's taxonomy places the organism in Eukaryota, Metazoa, Chordata, Mammalia, Primates, Hominidae. The transcript is spliced from 9 exons.